RNAcentral lists this microRNA precursor (73 nucleotides) under Rhinopithecus roxellana (golden snub-nosed monkey). RNAcentral's name for it is "miRNA (ENSRROG00000004580.1)". Lineage: Eukaryota; Metazoa; Chordata; Mammalia; Primates; Cercopithecidae. The record is from RNAcentral.
AGGUUGGUGCAAAAAUAGUUAUGUUUUUUGUCAUUAAUUUCUAUGACAAAAACCACAAUUACUUUUGCACCAA